GAUGAACGCUGGCGGCGUGCCUAAUACAUGCAAGUCGAGCGAACAGACGAGGAGCUUGCUCCUCUGACGUUAGCGGCGGACGGGUGAGUAACACGUGGAUAACCUACCUAUAAGACUGGGAUAACUUCGGGAAACCGGAGCUAAUACCGGAUAAUAUAUUGAACCGCAUGGUUCAAUAGUGAAAGACGGUUUUGCUGUCACUUAUAGAUGGAUCCGCGCCGCAUUAGCUAGUUGGUAAGGUAACGGCUUACCAAGGCAACGAUGCGUAGCCGACCUGAGAGGGUGAUCGGCAACACUGGACCUGAGACACGGUCAAGAUCCCUACGGGAGGCAGCAGUAGGGAAUCUUCCGCAAGGGGCGAAAGCUGGACGGAGCAACGCGGCGUGAGUGAUGAAGGUCUUCGGAUCGUAAAACUCUGUUAUGAGGGAAGAACAAAUGUGUAAGUAACUAUGCACGUCUUGACGGUACCUAAUCAGAAAGCAACGGCUAACUACGU
RNAcentral lists this ribosomal RNA (496 nucleotides) under uncultured bacterium. RNAcentral's name for it is "partial 16S ribosomal RNA". It matches the Rfam family "Bacterial small subunit ribosomal RNA", at positions 28 to 506 of the family's 1533-position model. The record is from RNAcentral.